Molecule: long non-coding RNA, 453 nt
Organism: Lycium barbarum (goji berry)
Lineage: Eukaryota; Viridiplantae; Streptophyta; Magnoliopsida; Solanales; Solanaceae
Exons: 2
Source: RefSeq, a predicted model, not a curated record
UUGAAAUAUGACAUGGGAAAAGUAGUAGAAACAAAGGAAACGCUGCCCAAUUUUCCCUAGAAAUAGUAGCGCGUUUUUCUCGUCGAUUGACUAACACGAUGGUGCGAAUUAUCUCUUGAAGGUAGAGACGUUACGUCAAGGGAAAUCAAGCGAACGAUAGCAUAGUUAACGACAAAGGUAGACAGAGAGACGGCGCCGACCUAUAGGAGCUAUCAGCAGAUUUACGGGAGCACUCCACUAUUUUGGAGGUGCUAGUCGAGCUAUGAUUUUGUGUAUAUAUGUAUAUGUCUAGUACUCCAGUAGAGGCUCGUAGAUACGCAGUGUGGGUUGUGUGGUAUCCCAAGGUUGCCAUUAUGUAGAAAUUUAUAUACAUAUAUGUGCAUAUUAUUUUGAUAGCCUAAAGGCUUAUGUUUACAAAAGUAUAUAUAUUUUAAACAGAAGAUGAUUUCUUUA